UACGUAGGGUGCAAGCGUUGUCCGGAAUUAUUGGGCGUAAAGAGCUCGUAGGCGGUCUGUCGCGUCUGCUGUGAAAACUCGGGGCUUAACCCCGGGCCUGCAGUGGGUACGGGCAGGCUAGAGUGUGGUAGGGGAGAUCGGAAUUCCUGGUGUAGCGGUGAAAUGCGCAGAUAUCAGGAGGAACACCGGUGGCGAAGGCGGAUCUCUGGGCCAUUACUGACGCUGAGGAGCGAAAGCGUGGGGAGCGAACAGG
RNAcentral lists this ribosomal RNA (253 nucleotides) under uncultured bacterium. RNAcentral's name for it is "partial 16S ribosomal RNA". It matches the Rfam family "Bacterial small subunit ribosomal RNA", at positions 524 to 776 of the family's 1533-position model. The record is from RNAcentral.